This 1298-nucleotide long non-coding RNA is filed under the name Astyanax mexicanus (Mexican tetra). RNAcentral's name for it is "lncRNA (ENSAMXG00005017825.1)". Lineage: Eukaryota; Metazoa; Chordata; Actinopteri; Characiformes; Acestrorhamphidae. The record is from RNAcentral.
UUUUAGCAUAACCUCUAUGUAUCCAUACAUGAAACUACUUUCCAAAAUGUUGUUUAAAAAUAGCGAGGUUAGCUGAAGUAUGAAGACAGAUGACCAAGUUAACUCAGCUCUCUAAGUGAAGUUCCUCAUUCUGUGUGUGUGUUUGUUUCAGGCCUGUAUGAGAGAGAAGUGACCACAGCUGAGACUGGUCGGCUGUUUGGGCCUAGUUUGUGAUUUUCUCGGUGUGAGGAGGAGGAAAGAGCGGGACAUGCCCCUGAGAGAUCCCGCAGAACCACACAACACCCAAAGACCCCUAGAAUACAAAACUUAACUCAACUCAGACCAACUCAACUCAAACGCCUCCCUCCCUCACACUCAGCUCCUCGCGCUCUGUACAGACUGAGGCUGAUGAGAUAAGACGGUUUAAAUGAACGGGAUUAACGUGGAGGAAAGUUCAGAUAAAAUAAGUAGCUAGUUAUAUAUCAGAGACUGACAGACCGGCUCUCGGUGCGCGGCUCCCCCAGAGCUCUGCUCCUCCGCCGCCGCCGCUGGGUCCACCUCCUCCUCCUGCUGCUGCUGAAAGUUGCGACUGCGGCGCCGCUCCGCUCCAAACCGGCCGGAUUAAGAUAACGGAACCGGGAGGAAUCAGAAAAGCGGUGGCGACGGCUUGAGGCGGGCGGGUUCAGUGCGUUUCCCCGUUAAAGUGAUCCAGUGUCGGGGAGCUGCGCUCAGUUCAGCCCGGGCUGGCUGUUUUCUCCACACUGCCUCUUUUUGGGAAUUUUGAAAAGCUGAUUUAAGAGGAAGGGGAGGGGACCCGCGCGGGCGCGCGCCCUCUACAGCACAGCCUGCGAGAAUCAAGCGAGCUCUGCAGUCUUUGUUCAGAGCUGUGUUUAUCUGGGGCUCCUGGAAGCAAGCAGGCUUGUUCACUUUGCUCUAAAGAGCAGCUCUAGGAGCAGCUGUUGGAUCUCUGCCUAUCAGCAGCUGUGCAUCAGCAGGUGGGAGCUCAGGGGAGGAGUGUGUGCCAUGGAGAUGAACAGGUAGGAGUCGGUAAACUGAGAUAGGUCUACGAUAGCCUAUUAGUAAGUCAUUGUGCACUGAGAUUUAACUGUAGGCCUACUAUUCUAAUCUACUGUGAGAAAAAUCUGUGCUAUGCCUAAUUUAAACAUUCAGUUAUAGACUGGAGAAAAAAAUAGCAAUGAACUAUUAAGCCUAGCUCUAGACUACAUAUAAUUUUAGGUGGAAAAUAUCGAUUCAAAAUGCUGUAUUGUCCAGGAAUAUGCUCAGGAAUGUAUGGAAAACUGACCCUAAACUAACUAAUG